This 531-nucleotide long non-coding RNA is filed under the name Homo sapiens (human). Its description in RNAcentral is "long non-coding RNA NONHSAT149881.1". Lineage: Eukaryota; Metazoa; Chordata; Mammalia; Primates; Hominidae. The record is from RNAcentral.
CUACUUCCUGCAGCAACGGGACACCCUGCGGCGCCAUGUGCAGAAACAGGAGGCCGAGAACCAGCAGCUGGCAGAUGCCGUCCUGGCAGGGCGGAGGCAGGUGGAGGAGCUGCAGCUACAGGUCCAGGCCCAGCAGCAGGCCUGGCAGGUGCGAAGCCCAGCGGUGCAGAGUCCAGCAAAGGUGCAGCCUUUGUGUCCAAGCAGGAGGGCAGCGAGGUAGUGAAGAGACCCAGGCGCUACCUGUAUCAAUGGCUGGGAGCCCCAGUCCCCUACCCGGAUCCCCUGGAGCCCAGGAGGGAGGUGUGUGAGCUCAAUCCGGACUGUGACGAGUUGGCUGACCACAUCGGCUUUCAGGAGGCCUAUCGGCGCUUCUACGGCCCGGUCUAGGGUGUCGCUCUGCUGGCCUGGCCGGCAACCCCAGUUCUGCUCCUCUCCAGGCACCCUUCUUUCCUCUUCCCCUUGCCCUUGCCCUGACCUCCCAGCCCUAUGGAUGUGGGGUCCCCAUCAUCCCAGCUGCUCCCAAAUAAACUC